Molecule: ribosomal RNA, 497 nt
Filed under: uncultured bacterium
Lineage: Bacteria
Description: partial 16S ribosomal RNA
Rfam family: Bacterial small subunit ribosomal RNA
Source: RNAcentral
GAUGAACGCUGGCGGCGUGCCUAAUACAUGCAAGUCGAGCGAACAGAUAAGGAGCUUGCUCCUUUGACGUUAGCGGCGGACGGGUGAGUAACACGUGGGUAACCUACCCAUAAGACUGGGAUAACUUCGGGAAACCGGAGCUAAUACCGGAUAAUAUUUCGAACCGCAUGGUUCGAUAGUGAAAGAUGGUUUUGCUAUCACUUAUAGAUGGACCCGCGCCGUAUUAGCUAGUUGGUAAGGUAACGGCUUACCAAGGCGACGAUACGUAGCCGACCUGAGAGGGUGAUCGGCCACACUGGAACUGAGACACGGUCCAGACUCCUACGGGAGGCAGCAGUAGGGAAUCUUCCGCAAAGGGCGAAAGCCUGACGGAGCAACGCCGCGUGAGUGAUGAAGGUCUUCGGAUCGUAAAACUCUGUUAUUAGGGAAGAACAUACGUGUAAGUAACUGUGCACGUCUUGACGGUACCUAAUCAGAAAGCCACGGCUAACUACGUG